CGCUGGCGGCACGCCUAACACAUGCAAGUCGAACGAAGUAGCAAUACUUAGUGGCAGACGGGUGAGUAACAUGUGGGUAUCUGCCCUUUGGCCUGGAAUAACACGAGGAAACUUGUGCUAAUACCGGAUAAGUCUUUACAGAGAAAGCUUUAUGCACCAUUGGAUGAGCCCGCACUUGAUUAGUUUGUUGGUGGGGUAAUGGCCUACCAAGACUUUGAUCAAUAGCUGAUUUGAGAGGAUGAUCAGCCACAUUGGGACUGAGACACGGCCCAAACUCCUACGGGAGGCAGCAGUGGGGAAUCUUGCACAAUGGAGGAAACUCUGAUGCAGCGAUGCCGCGUGAGUGAAGAAGGCCCUUGGGUUGUAAAGCUCUUUCGUCGGGGAAGAAAAUGACUGUACCCGAAUAAGAAGGUCCGGCUAACUUCGUGCCAGCAGCCGCGGUAAUACGAAGGGACCUAGCGUAGUUCGGAAUUACUGGGCUUAAAGAGUUCGUAGGUGGUUGAAAAAGUUGGUGGUGAAAUCCCAGAGCUUAACUCUGGAACUGCCAUCAAAACUUUUCAGCUAGAGUUUGAUAGAGGAAAGCAGAAUUUCUAGUGUAGAGGUGAAAUUCGUAGAUAUUAGAAAGAAUACCAAUUGCGAAGGCAGCUUUCUGGAUCAUUACUGACACUGAGGAACGAAAGCAUGGGUAGCGAAGAGGAUUAGAUACCCUCGUAGUCCAUGCCGUAAACGAUGUGUGUUAGACGUUGGAAAUUUAUUUUCAGUGUCGCAGCGAAAGCGAUAAACACACCGCCUGGGGAGUACGACC
Molecule: ribosomal RNA, 805 nt
Filed under: uncultured Pelagibacteraceae bacterium
Lineage: Bacteria; Pseudomonadati; Pseudomonadota; Alphaproteobacteria; Candidatus Pelagibacterales; Candidatus Pelagibacteraceae
Description: bacterial SSU rRNA
Rfam family: Bacterial small subunit ribosomal RNA
Source: RNAcentral